Long non-coding RNA from Branchiostoma belcheri (Belcher's lancelet), 590 nucleotides. RefSeq lists it as uncharacterized. The record is from RefSeq and is a predicted model, not a curated record. Lineage: Eukaryota; Metazoa; Chordata; Leptocardii; Amphioxiformes; Branchiostomatidae. The transcript has 4 exons.
GUAGGUACCCUGACGGUAUCUGUGAUAGACGGAGGUGCGACAACUGCCAUCUGGACCAGAUCUGGUAACCAAGGUAACCAGUGGUUCAGCGUCGCCGUCAGCAUUCCUGCCACCGGAAGUUACCAGGUCAUCUUUGAAGGGGUCAGAGGAAAUAAUGUCCAUGGUGACAUUGCAAUAGAUGACGUCAGCAUCCUACAAGGAGCCUGCCCAGAUGGAAAUGUGUGUGCUGCGGUAGGAGGCAGGGGACCGUGUGCCCAGAUCUGCACCAACACUGUCGGCGGUUUCUCCUGCUCCUGUGAGGUUGGGUAUAGUCUUAAUCAGGACCGCCUCUCAUGUAAUGAUGUAGAUGAGUGUGUUCCAAAUGAAGGCAAAGGACCGUGUGGCCAGAUCUGCAACAACACUGUCGGCGGUUUCUCCUGUUCCUGUGAGGAUGGCUAUAGUCUUAAUCCGGACGGCCUCUCAUGUAAUGAGGACGAAUGUGCUUCAAACGGAGGCCGGGGACCAUGUGCUCACACCUGCACCAACACAGUCGGAAGUUACACCUGCUCGUGUAAUGAUGGUUUCAACCUCAACUCUGACGGACAUACGUG